This is a long non-coding RNA of Sardina pilchardus (European sardine), 210 nucleotides long. RefSeq lists it as uncharacterized. The record is from RefSeq and is a predicted model, not a curated record. The transcript is spliced from 3 exons. Lineage: Eukaryota; Metazoa; Chordata; Actinopteri; Clupeiformes; Clupeidae.
ACAAAGACUAGAGAAUCAAAAUGGAUGUUAGAGCUGUGAUAAUAUUGCUCAUCAUCGCAGUGCAAUGUUUGGCUGUGCCCACUCAGAGGUCUUCCGAGAUGAAGGAGAAGAAGAGAAGAAUCCGAAGAAGACCUUCAGAUGGUUACAACAUGUUCAAUGAAAUGACAGCCAUGGAUCAAAUCAUUGAGGCCAACGAGUAUGAAGGAGGCA